GGAGAUGUAACUAAGUGGUACAGUAUUUGCCUACCAUGCUUAAGGACCUGGGUUCAAUCUCCAACACCACCA
This 72-nucleotide transfer RNA is filed under the name Heterocephalus glaber (naked mole-rat). It matches the Rfam family "tRNA". Rfam says of the family: Transfer RNA (tRNA) molecules are approximately 80 nucleotides in length. Their secondary structure includes four short double-helical elements and three loops (D, anti-codon, and T loops). Lineage: Eukaryota; Metazoa; Chordata; Mammalia; Rodentia; Bathyergidae. The record is from Rfam by way of RNAcentral.